CAUUCACCACCGCCACCGGAACUACUUAGCAAUGCUUGCUUGACUUAGCUGUCUAUGGAUUAAAGAAAAUACGGCUGCAUAUGCAAUUUUUUGUGAUCAUAUUUUGUGAAAUUCAGGGAUUCCACCUCCAUAUCCUCCCCAAGAUUUUCCGCCGCCGCCGCCGCCCACCGCCUCCACCGCCUCCACCGCCUCCACCGCCAGUUCCUGCACCGCCUCCACCUGGCUAUCAAAGCUAUUUCUAUGAAGGCCCUGUACCCCAACCUCCUCCUCCACCUCCACACACACCACUUGUCCAUCAUGAUCAUGAUGACAGUAGUGGUUGCUGUUCAUUCCUAAGAGGAUGUUUGGCUUGUCUUUGUUGCUGCUGUGUGUUGGAGGAGUGCUGUGGCUUCUGCUUUUAGGCUUUUUUGUGUCUGGUCUUUAACAUUCAUGGCAUUUGGUUAUUAUGUUACAUUCAUGGCAUUUGGUUAUUAUGUACUUUAUAAUCUGAGGACUUUCCUAAACAUUAUCCAUUUAAUGGAACAUGAAUCUGUAACUUAUUAAAUGAAAUGUGCUAAGACUCUUUCAACCUUCAAAACUGGAGAGCUAGCAUGCAUAUUUACCUUUA
Molecule: long non-coding RNA, 607 nt
Organism: Populus euphratica (Euphrates poplar)
Lineage: Eukaryota; Viridiplantae; Streptophyta; Magnoliopsida; Malpighiales; Salicaceae
Exons: 3
Source: RefSeq, a predicted model, not a curated record